AUCAUGUUGGGGCGCAAGCCGGGCGGGUGGCGCCGGAUUCGGUUCGUGCGAGCGAGCGACGAGGGGCUCUACAACGAGGACGGCUGGUCCGCGCUCCGUAUCAGGGGGAGGUCCGUGUACCACCUGAGGAACGCGCUGGCCAGCCGCGUCGGCGACAUCGACAUCCACGGCCAGCGCCGCGACAUGGUCAUGUGCGUCCGAGCGGGACUCUACGGGAGGCUGACCCCACUCGUCGUCAACCUGCCUCACGGCCGCUACGGCGAGACCCUCGACAUUGUCGUGAUGCUGUCCGGGACCCCUGGGUACUGA
RNAcentral lists this ribosomal RNA (309 nucleotides) under Triticum aestivum (bread wheat). RNAcentral describes it as "partial small subunit ribosomal RNA". The record is from RNAcentral. Lineage: Eukaryota; Viridiplantae; Streptophyta; Magnoliopsida; Poales; Poaceae.